Molecule: ribosomal RNA, 461 nt
Filed under: uncultured bacterium
Lineage: Bacteria
Description: bacterial SSU rRNA
Rfam family: Bacterial small subunit ribosomal RNA
Source: RNAcentral
GGGCCCGCACAAGCAGUGGAGUAUGUGGUUUAAUUCGAAGCAACGCGAAGAACCUUACCAGGUCUUGACAUCUAACGAAUCCUUUAGAGAUAAGGGAGUGCCCUUCGGGGAGCGUUAAGACAGGUGGUGCAUGGUUGUCGUCAGCUCGUGUCGUGAGAUGUUGGGUUAAGUCCCGCAACGAGCGCAACCCUUAUGGUUAGUUGCUACGCAAGAGCACUCUAGCCAGACUGCCGUUGACAAAACGGAGGAAGGUGGGGACGACGUCAAAUCAUCAUGCCCUUUAUGACCUGGGCUACACACGUACUACAAUGGCGAUUAACAGAGGGGAGCAAUACCGCGAGGUGGAGCAAAUCCUAAAAAAUCGUCUCAGUUCAGAUUGUAGGCUGAAACUCGCCUACAUGAAGUCGGAAUUGCUAGUAAUCGCAGAUCAGCAUGCUGCGGUGAAUACGUUCCCGGGCCUU